This 349-nucleotide ribosomal RNA is filed under the name uncultured bacterium. RNAcentral's name for it is "bacterial SSU rRNA". It matches the Rfam family "Bacterial small subunit ribosomal RNA", at positions 43 to 376 of the family's 1533-position model. The record is from RNAcentral.
GGCCGCGGGAAUUCGAUUCAGGCCUAACACAUGCAAGUCGAACGGCAGCACGGAGCUUGCUCUGGUGGCGAGUAGCGAACGGGUGAGUAAUAUAUCGGAACGUACCCUGGAGUGGGGGAUAACGUAGCGAAAGUUGCGCUAAUACCGCAUACGAUCUGCGGAUGAAAGUGGGGGAUCGCAAGACCUCAUGCUCGUGGAGCGGCCGAUAUCUGAUUAGCUAGUUGGUAGGGUAAAAGCCUACCAAGGCAUCGAUCAGUAGCUGGUCUGAGAGGACGACCAGCCACACUGGAACUGAGACACGGUCCAGACUCCUACGGGAGGCAGCAGUGGGGAAUUUUGGACAAUGGGC